GAACGAACGCUAGCGGUGCGUUUUAAGCAUGCAAGUCGAACGGUAUUUUUGUUGCUUGCAACAAAAAGAGAGUGGCGAACGGGUGAGUAACACGUAAGUAAUUCUUCUAUAUGACUGGAAUAGCCAGUGGAAACAUUGGGUAAUGCCAGAUACUUUAUGUAAAGGAAGCUUUACAUAAAAAAGGGUAUUUUUAUGCCGCAUAUAGCGAAGCUUGCGGCUGAUUAGCUUGUUGGUAAGGUAAAAGCUUACCAAGGCGACGAUCAGUAGCCGGCCUGAGAGGGUGAUCGGCCACACUGGGACUGAGACACGGCCCAGACUCCUACGGGAGGCAGCAGCUAAGAAUCUUCCGCAAUGGGCGAAAGCCUGACGGAGCGACACCGCGUGAAUGAUGAAGGCCGAGAGGUUGUAAAGUUCUUUUUUCGUUGAAGAAUAAUUUUUAUGCGCAAGUAUAAAAAGAUGACAUUAAGCGAAGAAUAAGCCCCGGCUAAUUACGUGCCAGCAGCCGCGGUAAUACGUAAGGGGCGAGCGUUGUUCGGAUUUAUUGGGCGUAAAGAGUAUGUAGGCGGAUAAGUCAGCUUUGUGAUAAAGGUCGUAGCUCAACUACGGUGUAUUAUGAAGAACCACUUGUCUUGAGUUGUGGAGAGGGAACUGGAAUUCCUGGUGUAGGGGUGAAAUCCAUAGAUAUCAGGAAGAACACCAGAGGCGAAGGCGAGUUCCUAGCCAAUAACUGACGCUGAGAUACGAAAGCAUGGGGAGCGAACGGGAUUAGAUACCCCGGUAGUCCAUGCCGUAAACGAUGUGCACUAGGUGAUAGGUUGUAUAAACUUAUUGCCGAAGCUAACGCGAUAAGUGCACCGCCUGGGAAGUAUGCCGGCAACGGUGAAACUCAAAGGAAUUGACGGGGGCCCGCACAAGCGGUGGAGCAUGUGGUUUAAUUCGAUGAUACGCGAGGAACCUUACCAGGGUUUGACAUAUACUGGAAGUCGUAAGAGAUUGCGAUGUCCUUCGGGACUAGUAUACAGGUGCUGCAUGGCUGUCGUCAGCUCGUGCUGUGAAGUGUUGGGUUAAGUCCCGCAACGAGCGCAACCCCUGUUGUUUGUUACCAGCACAUAAUGGUGGGGACUCAAGCAAAACUGCCAGUGAUAAACUGGAGGAAGGCGGGGACGACGUCAAGUCAUCAUGGCCCUUAUAUCCUGGGCUACACACGUGCUACAAUGGCUGAUACAGAGCGCAGCGAAACAGUGAUGUUAAGCAUAAUCGCACAAAGUCAGUCUCAGUUCGGAUUGAAGUCUGAAAUUCGACUUCAUGAAGUUGGAAUCGCUAGUAAUCGCGCAUCAGAAUGGCGCGGUGAAUAUGUUCCCGGGCCUCGUACACACCGCCCGUCACACCACCCGAGUUGAGGGUACCCGAAGCCGUUAGCCUAACCGCAAGGAGGGCAAUGUCGAAGGUAUGCUUAGUAAGGGGGGUGAAGUCGUAACAAGGUAGCCGUACCGGAAGGUGCGGCUGGAUCACCUCCUUUCU
This 1521-nucleotide ribosomal RNA is filed under the name uncultured organism. RNAcentral's name for it is "bacterial SSU rRNA". It matches the Rfam family "Bacterial small subunit ribosomal RNA". The record is from RNAcentral.